Tympanuchus pallidicinctus (lesser prairie-chicken) is the source of this 813-nucleotide long non-coding RNA. RefSeq lists it as uncharacterized. Lineage: Eukaryota; Metazoa; Chordata; Aves; Galliformes; Phasianidae. The record is from RefSeq and is a predicted model, not a curated record. The transcript is spliced from 3 exons.
CCUGAAGAAAAGACGGGCAAGCUGAGAAGCAUAUCUCCACAUCUCCACAGUUAUGCCUCACAGCCUCUCCAUGAUCCCAGCCCACAAACCCAAAAGGUGCUCAGAAUCACCUGCUGCACGAAUGUGUGUGAAGGCACUAAGGAGAGAAGGGCAGUUCGGGCCUCAUAAAAUUUGCAGUGAGGAGGUAAGGCAUAUUUUGUAAGACUGCCUGAGAAACAGACACUCCACCCUUGAACUGCUUUUUCAGCAGCGUACAUUCCAGUUACUCAUUCUUUGCCUUCUGCAGUAAGUAAACCGAGUACUGCUCAUAAAAUUGUAAAAUGAACUUUCCCAUGAUCAGGGAGAUUGGUUAUAUAGUCUGUGAACCUUAGUCAACCAAACAGAUGCAGACUAACAGGCACAGUAUACAUACUGUGAAUAGCCUCUCUACCUGCAGAAGAGCACAACACAUUCAGGAAAAAAACAUCAUCACAAUGACAGCACCCACACCAAAACCGUGAUGCUCCGACACAGCAGUGCUAUGUGGGAAGCGCUGCAGAUGGCACAGCAAGCAUCACCAAUUGGCAGCACUAAUCAGACCACGGCAACGACAAAAUACGAAAACUCUAGAGAACUACGGCAGACAAGCAUAAUCUAUUUACUGGAGCCUGCGGAAGCCCAGUUACUGCAAGGCUUUGUGACUUCUUGUACGAUUUAGUCAGCAUUUUCAGCUUUUGCAACUCCACCACGGGCCUUGCGACACGGGCAGCUUUUCCUGAAGCACUGGUUAGCAUCAAGCACUGAGAAAGGACGAUCGAGAUCGUACACCUUCGC